RNAcentral lists this ribosomal RNA (525 nucleotides) under uncultured bacterium. RNAcentral describes it as "bacterial SSU rRNA". It matches the Rfam family "Bacterial small subunit ribosomal RNA", at positions 378 to 894 of the family's 1533-position model. The record is from RNAcentral.
GCAGCCUGAUCCAGCCAUACCGCGUGGGUGAAGAAGGCCUUCGGGUUGUAAAGCCCUUUUGUUGGGAAAGAAAUCCAGCUGGCUAAUACCCGGUUGGGAUGACGGUACCCAAAGAAUAAGCACCGGCUAACUUCGUGCCAGCAGCCGCGGUAAUACGAAGGGUGCAAGCGUUACUCGGAAUUACUGGGCGUAAAGCGUGCGUAGGUGGUCGUUUAAGUCCGUUGUGAAAGCCCUGGGCUCAACCUGGGAACUGCAGUGGAUACUGGGCGACUAGAGUGUGGUAGAGGGUAGCGGAAUUCCUGGUGUAGCAGUGAAAUGCGUAGAGAUCAGGAGGAACAUCCAUGGCGAAGGCAGCUACCUGGACCAACACUGACACUGAGGCACGAAAGCGUGGGGAGCAAACAGGAUUAGAUACCCUGGUAGUCCACGCCCUAAACGAUGCGAACUGGAUGUUGGGUGCAAUUUGGCACGCAGUAUCGAAGCUAACGCGUUAAGUUCGCCGCCUGGGGAGUACGGUCGCAAGAC